GAGUGUUUGCCCGAGUGGUUAAUGGGGAGGACUUGAAAUCCACUGGACGCGGUCCGCGUGGGUUCGAACCCCGUUGCACUCA
This 82-nucleotide transfer RNA is filed under the name Perkinsus olseni. RNAcentral describes it as "tRNA-Ser". It matches the Rfam family "tRNA". From Rfam's summary of the family: Transfer RNA (tRNA) molecules are approximately 80 nucleotides in length. Their secondary structure includes four short double-helical elements and three loops (D, anti-codon, and T loops). The record is from RNAcentral. Lineage: Eukaryota; Perkinsozoa; Perkinsida; Perkinsidae.